Molecule: transfer RNA, 90 nt
Filed under: Aureispira sp.
Lineage: Bacteria; Pseudomonadati; Bacteroidota; Saprospiria; Saprospirales; Saprospiraceae
Also listed under: 1 other name
Description: tRNA-Tyr
Rfam family: tRNA
About the family: Transfer RNA (tRNA) molecules are approximately 80 nucleotides in length. Their secondary structure includes four short double-helical elements and three loops (D, anti-codon, and T loops).
Source: RNAcentral
GGAUAGAUAGAGCGUAAUUGGCUAGCGUCCCGGACUGUAAAUCCGGUGCCUUAACAGGUCUUGGGGGUUCAAGUCCCUCUCUGUCCACCA